AAUAUUUAGUCAUUUGGUUGAAUGACUGAACCAGCCAUGUCGAGUGAAGGAUGACGGCCCUAUGGGUUGUAAACUUCUUUUGUAUGGGAAGAAAAGCAGUUACGUGUAUUUUGUCUGCCGGUACCAUAUGAAUAAUGAUCGGCUUCCUCCCUGCCAGCAGCCGUGUUAAUACGGAUGAUCCAUUUUUUAUCAGGAUUUAUUGUGUAUAAAGGGUGUGUAGGCGGCUUUUAUAAGUCAGUAAAGAAAUCUAGAAGCUCAACUUAGAACGUGCUAUUGAAACUGUAGAGCUUGAGUACAGUCGAGGCAGGCAGUAUGUGUUGUGUAGCGGUGAUAUUUUUAAAUAUAACACAGAACACCGAUAGCGAAGGCAGCUUCCCAGACUGUAACUGACGGUGAGGCAAGAAAGCGUGGGGAGGGAACAGGAUUAGAUACCCUUUUUUCACGCCGCG
This 449-nucleotide ribosomal RNA is filed under the name uncultured marine bacterium. Its description in RNAcentral is "bacterial SSU rRNA". It matches the Rfam family "Bacterial small subunit ribosomal RNA", at positions 359 to 804 of the family's 1533-position model. The record is from RNAcentral.